Molecule: ribosomal RNA, 813 nt
Filed under: Dietzia psychralcaliphila
Lineage: Bacteria; Bacillati; Actinomycetota; Actinomycetes; Mycobacteriales; Dietziaceae
Description: bacterial SSU rRNA
Rfam family: Bacterial small subunit ribosomal RNA
Source: RNAcentral
GUCGAACGGUAAGGCCCCUUCGGGGGUACACGAGUGGCGAACGGGUGAGUAACACGUGGGUAAUCUGCCCUGCACUUCGGGAUAAGCCUGGGAAACCGGGUCUAAUACCGGAUAUGAGCUCUCACCGCAUGGUGGGGGUUGGAAAGUUUUUCGGUGCAGGAUGAGUCCGCGGCCUAUCAGCUUGUUGGUGGGGUAAUGGCCUACCAAGGCGACGACGGGUAGCCGGCCUGAGAGGGUGAUCGGCCACACUGGGACUGAGACACGGCCCAGACUCCUACGGGAGGCAGCAGUGGGGAAUAUUGCACAAUGGGCGGAAGCCUGAUGCAGCGACGCCGCGUGGGGGAUGACGGUCUUCGGAUUGUAAACUCCUUUCAGUAGGGACGAAGCGAGAGUGACGGUACCUGCAGAAGAAGCACCGGCCAACUACGUGCCAGCAGCCGCGGUAAUACGUAGGGUGCAAGCGUUGUCCGGAAUUACUGGGCGUAAAGAGCUCGUAGGCGGUUUGUCACGUCGUCUGUGAAAUCCUCCAGCUCAACUGGGGGCGUGCAGGCGAUACGGGCAGACUUGAGUACUACAGGGGAGACUGGAAAUUCCUGGUGUAGCGGUGAAAUGCGCAGAUAUCAUGAGGAACACCGGUGGCGAAGGCGGGGUCUCUGGGUAGUAACUGACGCUGAGGAGCGAAAGCAUGGGGGAGCGAACAGGAUUAGAUACCCUGGUAGUCCAUGCCGUAAACGGUGGGCGCUAGGUGUGGGGUCCUUCCACGGGAUUCCGUGCCGUAGCUAACGCAUUAAAGCGCCCCCGCCUGGGGAGUAC